This is a non-coding RNA of Zea mays, 191 nucleotides long. Lineage: Eukaryota; Viridiplantae; Streptophyta; Magnoliopsida; Poales; Poaceae. The record is from Rfam.
AUACCUUUCUUGGGCUUUUGGCUAAGAUAAAGUGUUGUAUCUACAGUUUAGUAUCUGGUAUGUGGGUCAUAUAUUCACUUCAAUUUUAAAUUUAUUUUCUAGGGAGGGUCUAUCACACUAACUUGCCACUAGACCUUCAGGUGUCGGACAACUGUUGCACUAUAUCUUCAAAAUGGAUUGGUAUAUUGUCA